CGAGAAAUAAAUUGCACAGGGCGAUAUCCUUUUCCGUCGAGGUUCUGUGUCAAAAUUGCUCCGAUUCCUUCCUUGCAAGAGUCAACCCAGAUUUGAAAAUCUUUGUCCAUCUCAGGGCCUUUUGCUGUUGUUCUCCCCAUUCAAAGGUGGCAUUUUUGCGAAGUAGUGCUGUGAGAGGUGCGACGACUAGUUGGUAGUUGGGCACAAAUUUGCGAAAAAAUCCACAUAGGCCAAGGAGUUGUUGCAGAGGUGUCAUUUUUCCAUUUUCUCCAAUUUUGUGGCCAAGAAGCUCUAUUUCAGUUGCUGCAACUUCCAGUUUGCCUGGGUUUAUUGUGAGUCCUGCUUCAUGAAGUCUUUGGAGAACGAUUUGGAGAUGUUUCACAUGCUCUUCAAGAGAAUUUGAAUACACACAGAUGUCGUCAUAGAAAGAGGUGACAAAUUUGUAGUUGAGUCCUCUAAGUACUUU
Long non-coding RNA from Neocloeon triangulifer, 466 nucleotides. RefSeq lists it as uncharacterized. Lineage: Eukaryota; Metazoa; Arthropoda; Insecta; Ephemeroptera; Baetidae. The transcript is spliced from 3 exons. The record is from RefSeq and is a predicted model, not a curated record.